RNAcentral lists this unclassified non-coding RNA (7582 nucleotides) under Portunus trituberculatus (swimming crab). Its description in RNAcentral is "nGFI-A-binding protein homolog, transcript variant X22". The record is from RNAcentral. Lineage: Eukaryota; Metazoa; Arthropoda; Malacostraca; Decapoda; Portunidae.
GUUGUUAGUGUGUCGGUUGUGAAUUCGAUUCCAUUGCUGUGGCUGCUUUUUUCACCCUGUGAUGCCCUCGCCAUGCCUCGUGUUAUUCGCUGAGUUGGUAUGCCAGCCGACUCUCCCUCCGGCAUUACACAUGAUCCAGGUGUUGGGGUAACCGCCGUGCCGCAUCACGCCGCCCAGUCUCUCCAGCGCCCAUCAUGUGACCCACCGACACCUCCAUGCUGCUCGUGCCUCCCACCUCGCGCACUGCCCCCUUUGCCGAGCCCUUGGUGCCGCCCACAACCGAGAGUAGCGGGAGUGUCGCUGCCUACCCCAACCACACACUGGUGCCAGUCAAGGUUGAGCCCUCCCACCCCCGCUACCCGCCCCACCACCCGCCGCUCCCCGACAUCCACCUACGCCCACACAUGUCCGGCCUGAGCGAGACUCAAUACCCGCCCGCGUCUACCGCUACCCACUCGGCGCCCACAACGCCCGCGCCACCUUCCACUCCCACGCCUGCUCCCACAGUCAGUGCCCCGUCCGACCGCUCCGGGUCCGGCGGAUCUGCCAGCGGGGGGCCGCUCCCCAUCCUCCCGCCCACGGUGGUCGGCCCCUCGACAGGCAGUAUCGUUCCCACGUCCUCAUCCUCGGGUCCAGUGGGCGCCCUCACCCCGGCUAUGCCCGUGCCAGGGCCCUCCAACCCACAGUCCCAGCCCCCGCCAUCACAACAGCAGGGGCCACAGGGCCACCAUCCCCUGCUGGGAUACGUCAACCACGGAAACAAGAUUGUCUCCCGUAACCUCAACGGCACGCGGCCCAACUACCCACCAAUCAGCCAAACCGAUCGCCGCCCAGAAUCCAUAAGGCGCGCACAAGAUUACGGACACCCAAGUAAGUUGUCGCAGGCCCCUCCAGUCCCUCCACCUCUCUCCAUGUCUUCCUUCGCCGCCGCCGCCGCCGCCGCCGCCACCGCCGCUCCUGGGCUAAUGGCCGUGACUUCGCAGCCCUCCAACGAGUCAGAGUUGCAGCUGUACCGCGUGCUGCAACGAGCCAACCUCCUGAACUACUACGACACGUUCAUCAGUCAAGGUAGAGUGAAAGGAGGUGACGACGUGCAGCAGCUGUGCGAGGCCGGCGAAGAGGAGUUUCUCGAGAUCAUGGCGCUGGUGGGCAUGGCCUCCAAACCCCUCCACGUGCGCCGGCUGCAGAAGGCGCUGCAGGAAUGGGUCUCCAAUCCCGUCGUACCGGCUCGCGUGGACGACGCCACAGCCAUGUUCCAGAUCCCGCUGAUGCCAAACCUCCCGCCCUCUGUCGCGGCGGGUUUUCCAGCCCUCACUGGUCGGGGGCUGAUGGGAACCCCCACCCCCACGCCCACUCCCACCCGCCCCUCACCGCCCAUGAUCACCGCCAGCAUCCACCCAAACCACAACUCUAGUCCAGGCAUCACUAAGGAUUCGAUGCCCAAUAUGAACAGCAACAGCGUGGGCGGCGUGCGCGACGUCUCGGGCGUGCCCUCCACCCACUCCCUGCCGUUGACCACUGCCUCCACCACCCCCGCCCUGCCCACCUCCACCAUCGCCGGCUGCACUUCCAACGCCCGUGACGGACCCUUGGGUCUUGGGGCAGCCGGGAUGGGCGGUCCUAUGCCUGGCAUGGGCGGGGCGCCAAUAGGUGGCAUGGGAGCGGGCACAGGAGGAGGCAUCGGGGGCUCAAGAGGGCCCUCCCCUCAUCACACCUCCCCCACACACCCCGGCAUCAUCCCGCCCACCUCAGUCGGUCUUCAGAACUGCCACGGUACAAUGUCGGCUGAUAAGAAUGCGGAGUUUUUUCUCCCACUCAUGAAGAGCACGGGUGUUGAGCACCACCACCAGUACCCCCCUCCCCCCGGCUCCCCACUGCAGCUCACGCCUGUGCUGCUCAAUUCACAAGUGGACAGGCUGGCGGACACGGCCUACGAGCUGGUGCGCAAUCUGCCCCCGUUCGAGCCCAAGACACAACAACAACUAAACAACAACAACAAGCGCAAGAUGUCCAAAGAGCUCGAGUACAUAAUGAACAUGAGUGAAGACGACCCGCGGAGGAUGGAGGAGAUACGCAAAUACGCCGCCAUCUACGGUCGCUUUGACUGUAAGAGGAAACCGGAGAAGCCGUUGACACUGCACGAGGUCUCCGUGAACGAGGCGGCCGCACAGAUAUGCAAGUACAUGCCAGCCCUUCUGACGCGCCGGGAUGAGCUCUUCCCACUCGCCCGCCAGGUGGUGCGAGACUCCGGCUACCAGUACUCCAAGGGACACUCGAGGUCGCAGACGGUGGUGGGAGGACGCGAGGACGAGCCCAAAAACAAGCGUUCGAGAUCCGACUCUGGUCACGACGCCGGCGACCUCAAGAACGAUCUGCAGUGGAAGAAGAGACAGGAGCGUCUGGAGGCCAUCAGUGAGGAGCUGCGGCAUAUGAGCGAGCGAGCGGAGGAGGUGCGAACGAGCCUCUCCUCCGGCAGCGGGGACGUGACGGCGCUCACUUCCCAGAUGGACGCCCUGCAGACCCGCCACUCGCAGCUCACCCUCGAACAAAAUGAACUCCUGAAGGCGCAACGCAAGGCGAAGAGUGACCGCGUCUCUGUCUGCAGCGAGGACAGAGAGAGAGGCGAGGAUUCAGACUCACAGUUCUCCUACAGCGGCGCCAGUUCGCCCUCACAGUCGUACCUACAGCAGUUGGUGCAGGACACUCUAGUCGACGAAGGUCUCCGUGUGGUCAAGGAGUCCCUAAACCAACAGAAAGACCCUGUCUCUGGCGCCCGUAACCAAGACUCCUCUUCCUACCCGCGCGCCCCUCCACAGCAGGGGUUGCAACAGGACGGAGUAGGGGCCAAGCACAACUCGACUCCCUCAGGCACAGUGCCCACCUCCACCUCGGCCGCUCAGGGCAGACUCGUGUCCCCCCCAACCACCUACUCAGAAAUGUUCUCCUACCCAGAGAAUAAGGUGAGGAAGGUGCUCUCCUCCAGCCAGGGCAACAUCAUUGCUGUGGCCAACCCGGCGCUCUCCAUGUCAGCGGCGAUGGCCAACUCUCAGCUCAGCGACGAGGAGCGCCACAUCUCGGCGCUGUACACCCUCAGCCAGACAGCAGGAGCGUCUGCGACAUCACGGAGUAACUCUAUCAAGCAGGAGCCAAACUCCCCCGGGGCUACCAAGCAGGAGUAGUUGCGCCGACACAACCUACCCGGUGAGAGGAUCUUCACCUCUUGCCCGCAUCCACAACCCUUUCCUGCACCGGGGUACCAGUUCGCCGGACCUGCACCACCAACUCCCUCCGCCGGGCACUUCCCGCCCAAUCCUCAUCACCGUUACUCAGGCGUUCCUCGAGCAUGACGGGACGCGUGCAGCAUCAGAGUUCCUCCCCAGCCAACGCAACACUACCGCAGCAUCCGAGCAUCGGCAUCCAGGUCUUCUGUGCUAUGGAUGAUGUACUUCACCAGCACUGGAAAUAUACUACAGUUCCCUGGAGAUAUAAUGAAUAUGUUAAAACCCAGCUCCAGCCCCAGCCCGCCGCCUUCGGGAGUUGGCGUUCUGGAGAGCCUCGUGUUUGUCUUACCGCCGCCGCACUGCUGCGCCUGACGCACCCGAACUCUCCUCAUAUUUAGUAUUUGUAGUUAAGAUUUUUAUCCUCAGUCCAGUAGUGGUGAUCUGUCCGCAGUGAGAAGCAUGCUAAAGAGAUCAACACGGACAGCAGACAAGAGUGAUUACAAGAACUCUGGUCUUGGUGUGAGAAUAGUGUCAUGUGCGUGCGGGUCACAGCAUAAGCCAUAUAACAUUGGCAUUUGAAAAAAAAAUAAGAGGACAAGUUGUAUCUAGACGUGACGUUAAUCAUUAAGCAACAUUCAUUAUAACAAUUUUGGUUUAUGUAAUAACAAAAAUGUUUGUCAAGAAAUUGCAUUAUGUUUACAGAAAAGAAAUGCGAGGCUUCAGAGUUCAUUAUGAGAUUAUGUGUUUUCGCAGAAGUUAUGAAAUGCAUUGUCUUUAUGUGAAGUUUCAGAAACUUCUUGAGACUUUUGCCAAAGAAUAGUCGAGAAUUAAGUAAACGCAGACUGCUUGGAGCGUCGUCGCUGGUGUGGAAGAAAGUAACUUCUGGUUCCUUAACAGUACAAUGUGAACACUUAUAAUUUUUCCCCUGACAGAUCAGAUAGUUACUUAACAGUUGUCAAGCCUGGGAACACUCCAAGCCCAGCAUCCCUGACAGCGGAGCAUACGACAACCCACCGUGCAGGACCUGCGCGUGGACACCCUUGAGGAACUUCAACAAAUUACUCGAAGCCUCUUUUUUUUAGUACAAGUAUGAAGCCGUCAAGCACUCUCACCUCAGUACUCUACGGUAGCCUCGUGUGCCACCUCUCCUGCAGUUCCAGACACCCUUAUCUCACUCAUGUCUCGCAGGGGGAGGCCAGAGGAGGCCCAGUGAAGAUAUCAAGCUGGUUUGCAUAUUGAUCUCAGCUUGACCGUGACCAUUAUGCGUCAAGGAACACAUGGGAUCGCCACCUUACAUUAUCCUAAACACUGAUUUAGGAAGAAAGAAAAAGAAAAGAAAAAUGACAUUAUCAUUCGUACUCCAAGCUCAGGACUACAAAAUCUGUCAAGUUAAUUUAACUUUGAGUAACCAUUAACUUGAUGAUCUGUAUGCCGCAUUCAUGCUUGGCGAUAGACUUUUCUGUUUUCUUACUAUCAGCACGAAAUUGAAUACCUACCUGUCAGAUUCCCACAGUGAUGCACCCGGAAUGGAACUCCAGGAAGUUGAGGUGAAUUUGGUCAACUUUGCUCUGUUGCCGUGAUUCUGUUUUCUCUGUCCAUUACUUCAAGCCUCAGCUGCGAUCCGUAGUUCCUUGUUGACUUGUGGCACCCAACCAGACCCUAAUACUGAAGCGUUGUGGGGUGGGCAGUGGGACAGCCGGGCGGUGCUUAAACAGUGCGUUGAAAACUCAUUCUAGUGUUGGUAAGGCCCCAGUCCUGGCAGUCAUCGUUAUCAUCAGUCACCAACAUAAUCACACACGCAAGCAAGCACGGGGGACAGGUUUCCAUAAACCUACAUUGGUGUGGCCUAGGGGAGGGGUGUGAGGCGUUAGCGCAUACUCAGCUUGCCUCCAAUACACAUACCUCCCUUUCCCCUCAGCCGUUCUCCCAAAACUCGCGGUAUGUUGUACACAACAUGUCAUGCAGUUUUCGUGCUUCAUCCCAGAUUUUCCCCCGCCUCGAGUAAAGAAGGCUCCUCAUGUACCCAGCCUCGAACUCGGGGCUUUCUGACAGUUGCGUGGGAGUUGACUGUGAUAAGUGAGCGACGCUGCCAGCAACACGGGCGGCGGGUGCUGUCCAGUACUCGUCUCUUCUCUCCAACUCGAGGCUUCAAGGUGUGACACUUGACUGAUUCCAUCACAGCUAUGAUUUAUUCAUCUCUAAAUUGCAAUAUAUAAAUAUAUUUUCACCUUAACUAGAUCAAUGAAAACUGACUGAGCGUGACCAAGAUGUAUCACGAACUCAUCAGGCAAGACGUUCAGCUACGAGGUCUCGAGACUUGGAGUGCAGAGUCAAGCAAGACAGACGAUAAUUGCUUUGCAUUUGUGAACUUUAGGCGACGAGAUAAUGAUUCUUGUAGUAAGUGUAGAUAUUAACUUAGAAUGAUGUACUGUAGUUCACAUGGCUUCCUUAGCGGAGCCUAGUCGGUGUACCUGUCUACAAAUUAUGUAAAGUGGAGAGCGGGAGUGGGUUCUAUUUCUAAUGCUGAUGAAACUGCGAUUUGAAUGACAUCUGAAUCAUUGUGGACGUCUGACGGAGGCCAGGAGGUCUUACUGGUCUGCUGCUGUCGGCGAUCUAGUAACCCCUUGGCCGCCCGCACCGCCGCGGAGCCGCCACCCACAGGCGGACCGUCAAAUACUGAUUUUCGAUAGUCCAGACAUGUCACAACAGCUGCGCGCCACAAGUGUCUGGUGCAAAUAUCUCCUUGUAUCUCUUUGGUUAGGAUCUAGUCCUCCCAUUCACUCAGUACAACGUUAUAUUUCGCAUUUUGGAGAGAAAGAAACAGUGGAGGAUAUUUUAAUUUAUCAUCAUUAUUAUUAUUAUUAUUAUUAUUAUUAUUAUUAUUAUUAUUAUUAUUAUUAUUAUUAUUAUUAUUAUUAUUAUUAUUAUUAUUAUUAUUAUUAUUAUUAUUAUUAUUACUAUUAUUAUUAUCAUUAUCAUCAUUAUCAUCAUCAUCAUUAUCAUCAUCAUCAUCUAAUUGUAAUAACGAAGUUUAGAGUCAGUAGGUCGCAGCUAGUAAUUGUUUUACCUGUCACUGCUCGGAACACCAAUGAACGUGCAUACCACAAUGGAGGGAAGCCAGUGUUGAAGGCUGCAGGGUCGUCCCGAGAGGAAGGUUGUCGGUCGGUGUCCUGAGUCGCUAGGGACCGCCGGGAGACGACGGUGAAAAAUAUCGAAAAACAUUUUUGACACAUUUUUUUUUUAUAUCUAGUGGCCUCUGUAGACUACCUCGAUGCUGAUCCCUGAUAAAAUACGGUUUAAAGCUGGGCCUGGUCCCCUGAGGUAAUGAGGUCAACGGAAUUAAAAGAUUUGUCAUGUUAAGAGCACUUGUCCGAUUCUUUAGUUCAGUAGUGUAAACAUUUUUUCGUCAGGACUCCAGUUCUCUAGGGAAUCAACCUGAGUUAAUCAAAGCAUAACUCCAGCUCGGAUUCGUUUCAAAUAUCGUCAACUGAUCCUUUUUUCUUUUUUUUUUUUGUGUGUGUGCGUAUGUAUGUAUGUAGUGAUCAGUUUUCGUGGCACGUAUAAGACCCAUACAUGUUGCAGGCACACGAUGAGGGAAAUGUUUCGCCCAUUUGAUGCGUAGAGCUUCGAUUAAAUUAAACAUAAACAGUAUCAUGUGCUACUGUAGUGCAAAUAUCUGCAUGUACAAAUAACACCAAUAAUUAUACUGAUUGAUAUAAAGGCAAAAAAUAUUUGAUUAUCUAUUAUUGGGUAUAGCAUCAAUUUUCUUUUACUUGUCAAAGAAAACGUAAUUCCCAUUUUCUCAUUUUGUAUUCUAGUGUGAUGCCGUACGUAAAUAUUUGUGCCUGCUUUACUUUUAUAUAAACAUUUGAAAUGUAUACAUUUCUGAAAUCGUGCAUAUGCCGAAUGGAGUCAAGAACGAUGUAUACAACUAUUAAAAGUUCAUGUUCACGUAAUAUUUGCGGUGAUGAGAUAUCCCGGGAUGAAACCGUCACGUGACGCCAUAGUUACCAGUGACCACAUGGCAGUCCACUUCAGCCAGGCAAGGUGAGCAGCUGAAUGUGAAACCUUGCGCCAUCAGCAGUGUUUGUGUGACAUCAUUCAGACCUGGGUUACAUAUUGAUAACGGUGAAUCAUCCCUGUGACUCUGGAAACAACCAUUAAUGAAACUGCAGUAAGUCGUGGACUGGCGAGCUUGUUGUCCGUGGCGGCGCAGGUCUGACGUGGAGGGGGCCAGUGGGGACGGGUUGCUGGCUGCCUCCACUCCACACCCUCGCGUCGACCCGGCAACUGCCAGACCAUCGUGUUGAUGCUCAUGUGUUUGUAAGCACAGAAGAAAAUAAAGUCUGAUAUUGUGAUGA